AACGAACGCUGGCGGCGUGCUUAACACAUGCAAGUCGAACGGGAUUAGGGGCUUGCUCCUAAUCUAGUGGCGCACGGGUGAGUAACGCGUGGAUAAUCUGCCUGAUGAUCUGGGAUAACAUUUCGAAAGGGGUGCUAAUACCGGAUAAGCCCACGAGGACUUCGGUUUUUGCGGGAAAAGAGGGGGGCCUUCGGGCCUCUUGUCAUCAGAUGAGUCCGCGUACCAUUAGCUAGUUGGUGGGGUAAAGGCCUACCAAGGCGACGAUGGUUAGCUGGUCUGAGAGGAUGAUCAGCCACACUGGAACUGAGACACGGUCCAGACUCCUACGGGAGGCAGCAGUGGGGAAUUUUGCGCAAUGGGGGAAACCCUGACGCAGCAACGCCGCGUGAGUGAUGAAGGCCUUCGGGUCGUAAAGCUCUGUCUAGAGGAAAGAAGUGUGGAGCGGCUAAUAACCGUUUCACUUGACGGUACCUCUGAAGGAAGCACCGGCUAACUCCGUGCCAGCAGCCGCGGUAAUACGGAGGGUGCGAGCGUUGUUCGGAAUUAUUGGGCGUAAAGCGCGUGUAGGCGGUUUCUUAAGUCUGAUGUGAAAGCCCCGGGCCUAACCUGGGAAGUGCAUUGGAUACUGGGAGACUUGAGUACGGGAGAGGGUAGUGGAAUUCCUAGUGUAGGAGUGAAAUCCGUAGAUAUUAGGAGGAACACCGGUGGCGAAGGCGGCUGCCUGGACCGAUACUGACGCUGAGACGCGAAAGCGUGGGUAGCAAACAGGAUUAGAUACCCUGGUAGUCCACGCCGUAAACGAUGAGUACUAGGUGUUGCGGGUAUUGACCCCUGCAGUGCCGCAGCUAACGCAUUAAGUACUCCGCCUGGGAAGUACGGUCGCAAGACUA
Molecule: ribosomal RNA, 890 nt
Filed under: uncultured bacterium
Lineage: Bacteria
Description: bacterial SSU rRNA
Rfam family: Bacterial small subunit ribosomal RNA
Source: RNAcentral